ACUCAUUUCAACUCUCAAAACAAAGAGCAUAUUUAAGCCUUGAUCUGUCUUAUUUCAAGAAGUGGUUGGUUUUCUUUUUCUUUGAAAAAAAUAAAUUGUUAGCAAUACUCAGACUAAUGUCACAAUCAUUUGCUAAAUAUCCAUAUUAAGCAAGAAGAUCAGGCAGUUGCAUCCUUCAGAUAGGCAAUGAGAUCUGCACGCUCUUGCGGC
RNAcentral lists this unclassified non-coding RNA (210 nucleotides) under Hevea brasiliensis (rubber tree). Lineage: Eukaryota; Viridiplantae; Streptophyta; Magnoliopsida; Malpighiales; Euphorbiaceae. The record is from RNAcentral.